RNAcentral lists this non-coding RNA (181 nucleotides) under Gammaproteobacteria bacterium. RNAcentral describes it as "6S RNA". It matches the Rfam family "6S / SsrS RNA". From Rfam's summary of the family: E. coli 6S RNA was the first non coding RNA to be sequenced, but its function was unknown until recently. It consists of 184 nucleotides that fold into an extended hairpin structure with a large single-stranded internal bulge. The record is from RNAcentral. Lineage: Bacteria; Pseudomonadati; Pseudomonadota; Gammaproteobacteria.
CGCUCUCUGCGGUGUUUGUACCGUUCCGUGUCCUUUGAACCUAUAACUCUUGCCUCGGGAAGCGCGCCAGCAGGUGCUGUUGUGCAAGUCCGCUUCGAGCGGAAAGCCUGAAGCGCCUCAGCGUUUCCCACUUGAACCUUUGGUUCGAGGCAAAGGAUGGUACGGCACAGGUGGAGGGCGC